RNAcentral lists this long non-coding RNA (921 nucleotides) under Spirodela polyrhiza (greater duckweed). RNAcentral describes it as "long non-coding RNA (SPOL_LNC000290)". The record is from RNAcentral. Lineage: Eukaryota; Viridiplantae; Streptophyta; Magnoliopsida; Alismatales; Araceae.
UACAAUGGAUUUUCCCAUUAGCUAUGGAGCUAAGCUUUGACUUUGCUCCCCUAUGCUACCCCCUUUUUUGGCAAAAUGGGUGCCCAUCUUCUUUUUGAUCAGCUCCAAAACAUGUCAACCUAUAAACAUUGAGAAACCGAACCGUAGGAUGCGUUUUUCUCAUGACGAGUUAUCAUCAUCUAUGACGUUGGUCUUUCUUUUAUGUGUGUGUGUUUUUUUUUUGUGGGCAUAAAAUCAUGACUCACUCUGGUUCGACGAUCGGUUUGCUAAAAAUGGUGCAUGGCUUCCUCUGCUUGAUCUAGCUGGAGUGCACGGGGUGCGGCCGAACGUGGUACGCCCCCGCAGACGAGGUAUCGACGUUGACCGCGGACGCGCCGCCGAGCGCCGCCGGAGAUCCCGGAGCCAAGUUCGACGUCAUCGAGAAGAAGCCGAUCGGCCCUCGCGUUCCUGAGGAACCCCGCCCACAGCGCAGCAGCCCUUCUUCCCGAGUCAACGGCGCCCAACGCUCCCCUCGUCGCAGGAAAACAGAGGCCACUCAAGCUUCCCCUCUGUAAGGAAGCUUCUUCCUCUCCCCUCCACCGCAGGUUCUAUAAAUGGCAAUACAUAGUUCCGUUGACCUACAUUUCCUUUCUUUUGGGAAGAUCAUCGGCUACCAAAGAAUUCGUUGGUUCCGAGGCAACCAAAACGCCUCUCUAUUGAUCUCACCUUCAGAAAUGCAUUCUGUAUCCCUUGGUGUCAAAGAAUCCCCGGGCUUUUUUUCCUUUUUUCCUUUUUUUUUUUGUUGUUGUUGACGAACCAAAUGUGAUGUCAUCAUGGAAAAGCCUCUCUAUCAAUGCUACUUUUAGGAAUAUAAAAAUUUCAACCCUCCCAAUCCAAGAAAAAGCACCUCAAUCAAUCUCCAAGUGUUCUUGACACAUUCAG